GAAAUUUGCCUUGCAUUGCCUGGUGAGUGGCAUUCUUCCAUCGUCCUGGUUGCUAUGACGAUGAAGGAAACUCGUUUGUUCCGGGUCACUCCUAAAUUUGCACAUGAAAGCAUUAGAGAUUACUGCUGUCUAAUCAAGUUAUAUGGAAAAGUUUAAAGGGAGGUACAAUGUUUUACAGCCAGCAACCCUCCACAGAAUAAAACACAAUAGCUGAGAAAAAGGAUUAUCUCCUGCUUUUAAAAACAUACGAAGAAAGUUCAAAAUGAUUCCUAAGUGUCAUGGUCCUAAUUAUUGUCACAUCACUGCUGAAAUGCAAAAAACUUGUUACUUUGAGUAUGAAUUACAUCUCCAAAGAAGUCAGGAAUGGUGGUGAAUAUAAGUGGGAAGCCCCGGGAGAAGCCCACUUGUUGCUGCAGAGGGGAAGCAUUCUGCAGUGCCCUGGGAAAUACCAGCUGCACCCGGAGGCUUCAGUUCUUUGCUGUUGCCCAGCCAACACCUGAGGGAUCACAAACGAACCUGGGAGUAAGUAAUUAAAAUUCAAAGCUUUAACAUUCAGAUACUUUUACGCUUUCUUUUGCUUCCAACUUGCAAGAAAUUUUCCAG
Molecule: long non-coding RNA, 603 nt
Filed under: Coturnix japonica (Japanese quail)
Lineage: Eukaryota; Metazoa; Chordata; Aves; Galliformes; Phasianidae
Description: lncRNA (ENSCJPG00005008734.1)
Source: RNAcentral